Molecule: ribosomal RNA, 396 nt
Filed under: uncultured bacterium
Lineage: Bacteria
Description: partial 16S ribosomal RNA
Rfam family: Bacterial small subunit ribosomal RNA
Source: RNAcentral
AUACGUAGGGAGCGAGCGUUGUCCGGAAUUACUGGGUGUAAAGGGAGCGUAGGCGGGAGUGCAAGUCAGAUGUGAAAUACAUGGGCUCAACCCAUGGGCUGCAUUUGAAACUGCAUUUCUUGAGUGAAGUAGAGGUAAGCGGAAUUCCUGGUGUAGCGGUGAAAUGCGUAGAUAUCAGGAGGAACACCGGUGGCGAAGGCGGCUUACUGGGCUUUUACUGACGCUGAGGCUCGAAAGCGUGGGGAGCAAACAGGAUUAGAUACCCUGGUAGUCCACGCUGUAAACGAUGGAUACUAGGUGUGCGGGGACUGACCCCCUGCGUGCCGGAGUUAACACAUUAAGUAUCCCACCUGGGGAGUACGAUCGCAAGAUUGAAACUCAAAUGAAUUGACGGGG